UAGGGGAUAUUGGUUAAUGGGCGAAAGCCUGAACCAGCAACGCCGCGUGUGCGAUGAAGGCCUUCGGGUUGUAAAGCACUUUUUGCCGGGAAGAGGAAGGACGGUACCGGUAGAAUAAGCCUCGGCUAACUACGUGCCAGCAGCCGCGGUAAAACGUAGGAGGCGAGCGUUAUCCGGAUUUACUGGGUGUAAAGCGCGUGCAGGCGGUUUUGUAAGUUGGGUGUGAAAGCUCCUGGCUCAACUAGGAGAGGUCGCUCAAGACUGCAAGACUGGAGUAUGGUAAGGGAAGGCGGAAUUCCGGGUGUAGUGGUGAAAUGCGUAGAUAUCCGGAGGAACACCAGUGGCGAAAGCGGCCUUCUGGACCAUGACUGACGCUCAGACGCGAAAGCUAGGGGAGCAAACGGG
RNAcentral lists this ribosomal RNA (405 nucleotides) under uncultured bacterium. RNAcentral's name for it is "bacterial SSU rRNA". It matches the Rfam family "Bacterial small subunit ribosomal RNA", at positions 355 to 776 of the family's 1533-position model. The record is from RNAcentral.